CCAGUAAGAAGCUUCCAUUAAAAUAACACUGUUCUAGUCCAGUUUAGCUAAAGUUUUGAACAAAAAUGUUUUGUUUUGGCACGCUAGAACCCCUCCCAUAAAACAUCAAAGCAAGGACAAAGGCUACCGUGGACCAGUUUCACAGGUGAUUUAUGGUGGAUCAUGUUUAUUAACCGUUGAAUUCAUCUAAGAUUCACAAUCUUAUCCUGCGUCCAUUGCACCAAAUUAGCCCUCAAGACAGUCUCUUCCUCUUUCGAGGCCAAACUGCCAUAACCUGCAACGCCGGACCUCCGUGAGCCGCUUUGACAUCUUCGCCGACGCCGACGUGUCUUGCUUCUCCUGCCAUCAAUUCCCCUUCCUGUGUUGUAACUUGCGAACUUGGAAAACCCCUCCAUGUGUGGCUUCUGUGAUUUGCUAACUGAGAUUUUGGCUUCUUGGAAGUGGAUCUGAACAGAUCUGCAACUUUUUUUUGCUUGAACAAAAAAUCGCCGCUGCCGGAAAUUGUCUUCAGCGGCGAUGCAAGGUGGUCCCGAGAGGUUGAUGGAAAAGGAGAAAAAAGAAAUAAUGUAGAGUUGAGGGUAUACAAUAAUAAUGUGGGGAUAAGAUUAAACUAACAGUCAGGAUUUGUGGGUGCACCAUAAAUCUCAC
RNAcentral lists this long non-coding RNA (648 nucleotides) under Glycine max (soybean). RNAcentral describes it as "long non-coding RNA (GMAX_LNC000264)". The record is from RNAcentral. Lineage: Eukaryota; Viridiplantae; Streptophyta; Magnoliopsida; Fabales; Fabaceae.